Molecule: ribosomal RNA, 629 nt
Filed under: uncultured Verrucomicrobium sp.
Lineage: Bacteria; Pseudomonadati; Verrucomicrobiota; Verrucomicrobiia; Verrucomicrobiales; Verrucomicrobiaceae
Description: bacterial SSU rRNA
Rfam family: Bacterial small subunit ribosomal RNA
Source: RNAcentral
UAGUCCUGGCAGUAGACGGUGUGCGCUUGGUGUGAGGGGAUUCGACCCCCCUUGAGCCGGAGCUAACGCGUUAAGCGCACCGCCUGGGAAGUACGGCCGCAAGGCUAAAACUCAAAGAAAUUGACGGGGACCCGCACAAGCGGUGGAGUAUGUGGCUUAAUUCGAUGCAACGCGAAGAACCUUACCAAGGCUUGACAUGCAUCUCUAAGCGCGUGAAAGCGCGUGACCCUUCGGGGGAUUUGCACAGGUGCUGCAUGGCCGUCGUCAGCUCGUGUCGUGAGAUGUUGGGUUAAGUCCCGCAACGAGCGCAACCCUUGUGACUAGUUGCCAGCACGUCAUGGUGGGAACUCUAGUCAGACUGCCCAGAUCAACUGGGAGGAAGGUGGGGACGACGUCAGGUCAGUAUGGCCCUUACGCCUUGGGCUGCACACGUACUACAAUGCCCAGCACAAUGAGAACCGAGACCGCGAGGUGGAGGAAAUCUGCAGAACUGGGCCCAGUUCGGAUUGGAGGCUGCAACUCGCCUCCAUGAAGCCGGAAUCGCUAGUAAUGACGCAUCAGCUACGGCGUCGUGAAUACGUUCCCGGGUCUUGUACACACCGCCCGUCACAUCAUGGAAGCCGGUCGCA